Molecule: small nuclear RNA, 19 nt
Filed under: Arabidopsis thaliana (thale cress)
Lineage: Eukaryota; Viridiplantae; Streptophyta; Magnoliopsida; Brassicales; Brassicaceae
Description: snRNA_01411
Source: RNAcentral
GUAAAAGCUCGUUUGAUUC